GAGAGUUUCAAAAUUUCAAUUAGGUUGAAAUAUUAAUCAUUCUUUCAUAUACAACAUUACUUAUUUCAAACACUUUAACAACAAAAAGACUUUGUUUUUGUCUUCUAAAUAGUCCACAACUAAGAUACUUGUCUUAGAUUCGAUUCCCCAUGGAAUAUGUAGUCUUCUUAACAUAAGCUCCAAAUUUGUUGUUUAAUUUUGUUACAUGCAAUCUUUUUAGAAUAGUCAUGCACUCAUGCUAAUGCAACUUUGACAUAAACGUUUUGUUUUUUUCUUCUAAUUAAGAUGAACUUGAAUAUUGAAAAAUGUGAUGCAUCAUUUGCAAACCACCUACAAAUGAAUACCAAUGUUUCUACAUCCUCUUUUUAAAAGUUUCUUCAAUCGGAAUUGGAUCCAAUUUCGAAAGUUGAUUUAGAAUUGUCAAAAAGAAAUGCUAAAAGCCGCACGAUGACAAAUCCGAGACAUACGCCA
This is an RNA transcript of Arabidopsis thaliana (thale cress), 471 nucleotides long. RefSeq lists it as uncharacterized. The record is from RefSeq. NCBI's taxonomy places the organism in Eukaryota, Viridiplantae, Streptophyta, Magnoliopsida, Brassicales, Brassicaceae. The transcript has a single exon.